GAUACCACAAACGAAAUGUGCUUUCUUCUUCGAUAAAAGGAGUGUUCUCCGUCGAUAUUUGAUUAUAAUUCCAAAUAUUUUCUACGAAUAAUUCAACUAUAAAAGAAAACUUACAAUUAUAGAUUUUCUAAUCGAUUUCUAAAAACAAAGGGUUGGUGUGCUGGUGAAAACAUUAAGAUAAUUUUCUAAAAUACUAAGAUAAAUUUUAGAAAUGAAUUUAAUUAUUUAAAUGUUCAUUAUUUGAACAUGUAAAUACAUCGUUGAAAACACGAAGAUUAGGGGAAUUAGAUAGCUCUACAAUGUGAGAAAAGCAAAUAGACAAAAAUAAUUGUUUCGAGGUGGCUCGUUAACUGACAUAAUAGUAUUUUGAUCACACACGAUGAAAUUUAACUACUUCCGUUAAAGUCACUUACCAUGCACGUUAAUUGUUAACUAUCGCAAAUAUAUGAAUGAAAUAUAUGAAAUUAUGGGUGGCUAAUGAAUAAUAAACGAGCAAUUGGUUAAGUAAAUGAGAACCUCGAACGUACCGAAAGAUUUCCUGUAGAAAGCGAGAAAGUGGUUUAUCCAGAAGUUUGCAAUAAGAUCAACUUAACUUGGACGAGUUGCAGCGAUGCAUUCUAACGCAUGAGCUAACUUUUAACUCUGACGUAAUUCUAUAUAUGUAUUGUUGUAUAUAUGGAUCGUCUUACAAAACUAAUAUUUAUAUAUAUAUAUUGGGAUUAUAUUAACAAUUUUAACCAAUUGAGCUAUCCAGGGCCAAUUCCCUUCGACGAAUGCUUAAUAAGCUUGGCAUGGAGGUGUCCGUCUCACAUACAUAUAUAUUCCAAGGUAAACUGCUUUGAGACCAUCAGAUUUUUAUCGACUUUUAUUAUGUUUCUUCUUUUGCAUAAUUCUAUUGAACGUGAGGUUUCUUUUACAUCUCCAACAACUCCAAUGGUCUGGGCUAUAAAACAAGAAUGAAAAGAAUUAAUUAAUGGCUUUUGCGUGUCUAUACAAUA
Long non-coding RNA from Polistes dominula (European paper wasp), 998 nucleotides. Lineage: Eukaryota; Metazoa; Arthropoda; Insecta; Hymenoptera; Vespidae. The record is from RefSeq and is a predicted model, not a curated record.